This 440-nucleotide ribosomal RNA is filed under the name uncultured bacterium. RNAcentral's name for it is "partial 16S ribosomal RNA". It matches the Rfam family "Bacterial small subunit ribosomal RNA", at positions 338 to 795 of the family's 1533-position model. The record is from RNAcentral.
CCUACGGGUGGCAGCAGUGGGGAAGAUUGCACAAUGGGGGAAACCCUGAUGCAGCGACGCCGCGUGAAGGAAGAAGUAUUUCGGUAUGUAAACUUCUAUCAGCAGGGAAGAAAAUGACGGUACCUGACUAAGAAGCCCCGGCUAACUACGUGCCAGCAGCCGCGGUAAUACGUAGGGGGCAAGCGUUAUCCGGAUUUACUGGGUGUAAAGGGAGCGUAGACGGCAUGGCAAGUCGGGUGUGAAAGGCCGGGGCUCAACCCCUGGACUGCAUUGGAAACUGUCAGGCUGGAGUGCAGGAGUGGUAAGUGGAAUUCCUAGUGUAGCGGUGACCUGCGUAGAUAUUAGGAGGAACACCAGUGGCGAAGGCGACUUACUGGACUGUACCUGACGUUGAGGCUCGACAGCGUGGGGAGCAAACAGGAUUAGAUACCCCUGUAGUC